UAAUUAAUCUAUCAUUUCAACUGUUUAACUUAUCAGUUUUAUUCGAAAACGUCGAUUUAUUAAUCCAAUAAUGUAUUACAAAAUUUUUAUCAUGAUGUAUCUAACUACUAGUUUUACAAACGCAUUUCUUUUCAAAUUUCCACCUUUGGACGAGCAGAAGACGAAAUUGAAUAAUCAAGCAUGGCUUGAUUCGACCAAAUAUUUUAAUAGUUAUAAAGAUAAUAAUAAUGGUAUCAGUUUAGAUAGUUUUAAAAACUUAUUUAAAUUAUUUUAUCCGGUACACAAAUUGGAUAAUAGUAGAAUCGAAACAAUAUUCAAGGAUGAAGUUCAAAAUAGAGACGAAUUUAUGAAUUUGGAGCAAUUUAUAAAAGUCAUGACAAAAAUUGUAAUAAUAACUGAAGAAAAAGUAAAUACUACUUAUGAUGAAUAUCACGACCGAGAUGGAAAGAUGACUAAAAAAGAAUUUGAGGAAUUUGUAAAAGGAUUUGAUUACAAUUUAACGGAUGAUAUGGUUACUAAUAUAAUAACUGAAAAUUGUACAGACGCACAAAAUAUCAGCUUUCCAGAAUUCAGAAUUAUGUCUGUGGAAUUAUAUUACAUAAUACUUGAUAAACUAGGAUUAAGGAUAUUGGAAGAAGAAAUGGCAGUACUUAGAAUAUAAGCUCCGAGGCGAAGCUGAUAAGACUAUUUCCUUAUAUAUGGGGGGUGUUCAAAUCUGAAAAAUGCAUAAAAAGAGGAGCUCCAUUCUUAUGCGUUCCCGCUCAAUUCAAGUACUAAAUUUUAAUCAAUAAAAUUAAAUGCAUCGAAUAUACUAUACUUACAAAAAUGAAAAAUAUGGUAAUUUUAAUAUUUUCUCAUGGUAUUAAUCUGAAUAUAUAUAGUGUAAAAAUAAAUUAAAUAACUUCACUUAAUUGUAAUUAACUAUGAUUGAUCAUAAUUAAACGCAUACAAUAUUUUCUUUAUUUAAUA
RNA transcript from Daktulosphaira vitifoliae (grape phylloxera), 969 nucleotides. RefSeq lists it as uncharacterized. The transcript is spliced from 6 exons. The record is from RefSeq and is a predicted model, not a curated record. Lineage: Eukaryota; Metazoa; Arthropoda; Insecta; Hemiptera; Phylloxeridae.